AGCGAACGCUGGCGGCAGGCCUAACACAUGCAAGUCGAACGAACCUUUCGGGGUUAGUGGCGGACGGGUGAGUAACACGUGGGAACGUGCCUUUAGGUUCGGAAUAACUCAGGGAAACUUGUGCUAAUACCGAAUGUGCCCUUCGGGGGAAAGAUUUAUCGCCUUUAGAGCGGCCCGCGUCUAAUUAGCUAGUUGGUUGAGGUAAUGGCUCACCAAGGCGACGAUCAGUAGCUGGUCUGAGAGGAUGAUCAGCCACAUUGGGACUGAGACACGGCCCAAACUCCUACGGGAAGCAGCAGUGGGGAAUCUUGCGCAAUGGGCGAAAGCCUGACGCAGCCAUGCCGCGUGAAUGAUGAAGGUCUUAGGAUUGUAAAAUUCUUUCACCGGGGACGAUAAUGACGGUACCCGGAGAAGAAGCCCCGGCUAACUUCGUG
Molecule: ribosomal RNA, 434 nt
Filed under: uncultured bacterium
Lineage: Bacteria
Description: partial 16S ribosomal RNA
Rfam family: Bacterial small subunit ribosomal RNA
Source: RNAcentral